CACGUAGGGUGCGAGCGUUGUCCGGAAUUAUUGGGCGUAAAGAGCUCGUAGGCGGCUUGUUGCGUCGACUGUGAAAACCCGCGGCUUAACCGCGGGCUUGCAGUUGAUACGGGCAGGCUAGAGUUCGGUAGGGGAGACUGGAAUUCCUGGUGUAGCGGUGAAAUGCGCAGAUAUCAGGAGGAGCACCGGUGGCGAAGGCGGGUCUCUGGGCAGUAACUGACGCUGAGGAGCGAAAGCGUGGGGAGCGAACAGG
This 253-nucleotide ribosomal RNA is filed under the name uncultured bacterium. RNAcentral's name for it is "partial 16S ribosomal RNA". It matches the Rfam family "Bacterial small subunit ribosomal RNA", at positions 524 to 776 of the family's 1533-position model. The record is from RNAcentral.